RNAcentral lists this ribosomal RNA (195 nucleotides) under uncultured bacterium. Its description in RNAcentral is "partial 16S ribosomal RNA". It matches the Rfam family "Bacterial small subunit ribosomal RNA", at positions 307 to 526 of the family's 1533-position model. The record is from RNAcentral.
GCCUCCCUCCGCGCCAUCAGACUCCUACGGGAGGCAGCAGUGGGAAUCUUGCACAAUGGACGAAAGUCUGAUGCAGCGACGCCGCGUGAGCGAUGAAGCCCUUCCGGGGUGGUAAAGCUCCUUCGACGGGAACGAUAAUGACGGUACCCGGACGAAGAAGCCCGGCUAACUACGUGCCAGCAGCCGCGGUAAUUC